This 870-nucleotide ribosomal RNA is filed under the name uncultured archaeon. RNAcentral's name for it is "bacterial SSU rRNA". It matches the Rfam family "Archaeal small subunit ribosomal RNA", at positions 5 to 879 of the family's 1478-position model. The record is from RNAcentral.
CGGGUGAUCCUGCCGGAGGCCACUGCUAUUGGGAUCCGGACUAAGCCAUGCGAGUCGAGAGGGUUUGGCCCUCGGCAGACGGCUCAGUAACACGUGGAUAAUCUGCCCUUAGGUGGAGGAUACCCUCGGGAAACUGAGAAUAAUACUCCAUAGGUCUAGAAGGCUGGAAUGCAUCUAGGCUGAAAGCUACGGCGCCUAAGGAUGAGUCCGCGGACUAUCAGGUAGUAGUCAGGGUAACGACCUGGCUAGCCUACGACGGAUACGGGUUGUGAGAGCAAUAACCCGGAGACGAUAUCUGAGACACGAUAUCGGGCCCUACGGGGCGCAGCAGGCGCGAAACCUUCACACUGCGCGAAAGCGCGAUGAGGGGAUCCCAAGUGCUGGCACGUAAGUGUCAGCUGUUUCUCUGUCUAAAAAACAGAGAGAGUAAGAGCUGGGUAAGACGGGUGCCAGCCGCCGCGGUAAUACCUGCAGCUCAAGUGGUGGCCGCUAUUAUUGGGCCUAAAACGUCCGUAGCCGGUUUGGUAAAUGCCUGGGUAAAUCGUGUAGCUCAACUAUACGAAUUCCGGGUAGACUGCCAGGCUUGAGACCGGGAGAGGCUAGAGGUACUCCUGGGGUAGAGGUGAAAUUCUGUAAUCCUAGGGGGACCACCAGUGGCGAAAGCGUCUAGCCAGAACGGGUCUGACGGUGAGGGACGAAGCCCUGGGGCGCAAACCGGAUUAGAUACCCGGGUAGUCCAGGGUGUAAACGCUGCUUGCUUGAUGUUAGCCAGGCUCCGAGCCUGGCUAGUGUCGGAGAGAAGUUGUUGAGCAAGCUGCCUGGGAAGUACGGUCGCGAGACUGAAACUUAAAGGAAUUGGCGGGGGAGCAC